AUGAACUGGAAUCCAAGAUUCCUAACAGCUUUCAUCAAGGUUUGCUUGGCAUGGUUGUUGGUGCCAGAUGGGCUGGUUUGAGUAUUUCUGAAGAGAAAACGCCGAUCUCCUGGGAUUUUCACACACAACAGGCUCUAGAGUUUACACAGCAUGGUGUGGAAAAACAACCAAAAACAACCCCAGAACAUCCAGUGAGACGGCCACAUUGGGUAUCGAUCCUGUAAGCCGAGAAAAGGAAUCCGAGGCUAUCAUGGCCACUGAAUCUGGACAGGUAAAGAUGGGGGAAAGAUCGAGCGAGGUUUUUUAGCUGUUUCGGAAAUACUCAAACCUGCUUUUCGGGCACCAACAACCAACGAUGUUUUUCCUCCAUUCUGUUGUCUGAAGCUCUUGACCUGUAUACUGUAUAUGUAUGACCGCAUAAUUGCAAGAAUGAGGUUAAAGUGAGUGUAGAUAUAAAGAGGAGACAUAUCGGAGGCUUGACACAGAACCACGUGGUUCUCCAUGUUGCACAUUGCCCCAGGCUUGUCAUUAACCUUCUUUGAAAUCAAUAAUCUGGUGUGUUCUCCGGAUAAGUCAUGUGCACAGCUUGCUAAUACUGUUCAGUGAAUGACGCUUCGUUUUGUGUGAGGACACGGAUGCAGAGCCAGACACCAGCCAGUCCAAACCUUGUUCCUUACCCAUGUCAUAUCAGUAGACGCAGAUGCGAGCUGACUUUUCUGGAGCAGAGAGAUAGGAUAGCAGAUGUCAUGGGUUUUUCCUUUACAGCCCAGAAUUCCUCCUUGUGAAUCAUGUAUGCCGAGUCGAGGAAGGCAAGGAAUCACAAUGAUGUCCUGAUAUGAAAGUGUUGAAUUACUGAACGUAUUCAGCUCUGGGUAGAAAUAAUAAACCGUGCUUUCUUAUUUAGUCCUUGCUAUGCUGGGUAAUGUUGUACGGAAAUAGCUCUCCCAUCAUCCUUUGUCGUUAGAACGAGACGCUGAUAGGGGUUUUUGUGUUUUUGUGUGGCAGCACACAUACAUUUAUAGAUUUGAUUUUAUUUCUCCUCACUGGUUUGAUUAGCGGACUGACGACAUGGCUCGAUUUAACGACUUGAUGACGGAAACGGAACGUUCAGAGACAAAUGGACAGAGAAGUACACGUUUAUUCUCCUCACGUACAAGUUCAUAUAUACACGCUGUAUAUUUUUAAUCUAUUCUAGUCAAAAGUGUUUUAUUGUAUUCAUAGCCAGACAUGUACGAUUUAAAAGGUAAACGGUUGCCAUGUUAGUCGUAAAAGAUUCGUAGUUGUAAAAGAUCUGUAAUGUAAAAGAUCCGUAUUGUAAAAGAUGCGUAGUUGUAAAAGAUUCGUAGUUGUAAAAGAUGCGUAGUUGUAAAAGAUCCGUAGUUUGUAAAAGAUUCGUAGUUGUAAAAGAUUCGUAGUUAUAAAAGAUGCGUAGUUGUAAAAGAUCCGUAGUGUAAAAGGUACGUAGUUGUAAAAGAUUCGUAUUUGUAAAAGAAUCGCAGUUGUAAAAGAUUUGUUGUUGUAAAAGAUUCCUAGUUGUAAAAGAUUUGUAGUUGUAAAAGAUUAGUUUUGUGUAGCUUACAUUUUAUGUAACCGCAUGUCACAAACUGGGAUUGUUUUUUUUUCGCCGUUUAUCACACAAGCUAGCAUUUUAAAUUCAUAAACGUGAAUCAAAGUGGGUAAACUCAUUGCAUUUGAUAAAGAUUCAGAAUCAAAAAGGGCAAUGCUUUUAGUAUUGAGUGUUGUUUAACUUGGUUGUACAUAGAUUGCUUAAUUGCUUAACCGUGAGUCAUCUGUGCACAGGUGAAAUUUUAUGUGACACAAAUUUGGAUGAACAAAAUUGAAUUGGUUGAAUUUGAUUCAUUGAAUCGACUCGGUAAUUUUUUUUUUAAUGAUUCGCUUAGGGUGAACAGUAGCUGGUAAGUGUUUUUUCUUGAUUUUUAGUUGAAACUAGUUUUAGCAUCGGCUGUCAGAUAGAAGCUGUAACUGCGUUCCUUGUUGCUACGAGUUGUUUACACGUUGCUAGAUUAGAGCUAAUUCACACGAUUACACUUUGUUUUGCUAAUUAAAGAGGCAUGCUCAGGUGUGAAGCACCCCCACUACAGUACUUGAGAACUAGGAAACGCUGAGGCGGAAACGUCAGCCCUCACAUGAAGCCUUCUUCGUGUGAAGCCCGAGCUCGUGUAAAGACCUGCGAGUCUACCUGCACGAGUCCACCGUAAAGACACCACUCACGCUGCUAAGUAUCACUUUCUCCCUCUCUCCACCUUGUCCUCC
Molecule: long non-coding RNA, 2274 nt
Organism: Ictalurus punctatus (channel catfish)
Lineage: Eukaryota; Metazoa; Chordata; Actinopteri; Siluriformes; Ictaluridae
Source: Ensembl